This 468-nucleotide ribosomal RNA is filed under the name uncultured bacterium. RNAcentral's name for it is "partial 16S ribosomal RNA". It matches the Rfam family "Bacterial small subunit ribosomal RNA", at positions 28 to 507 of the family's 1533-position model. The record is from RNAcentral.
GAUGAACGCUGGCGGCGUGCUUAACACAUGCAAGUCGAACGGUGAAGGCGGAGCUUGCUCUGCUGGAUCAGUGGCGAACGGGUGAGUAACACGUGAGCAAUCUGCCCCUGACUCUGGGAUAAGCGCUGGAAACGGCGUCUAAUACUGGAUACGAGCUGCGAAGGCAUCUUCAGCAGCUGGAAAGAACUUCGGUCAGGGAUGAGCUCGCGGCCUAUCAGCUUGUUGGUGAGGUAACGGCUCACCAAGGCUUCGACGGGUAGCCGGCCUGAGAGGGUGACCGGCCACACUGGGACUGAGAUACGGCCCAGACUCCUACGGGAGGCAGCAGUGGGGAAUAUUGCACAAUGGGCGGAAGCCUGAUGCAGCAACGCCGCGUGAGGGACGACGGCCUUCGGGUUGUAAACCUCUUUUAGCAGGGAAGAAGCGAAAGUGACGGUAACUGCAGAAAAAGCGCCGGCUAACUACGUG